This 83-nucleotide ribosomal RNA is filed under the name Vibrio sp. Vb2880. The record is from RNAcentral. Lineage: Bacteria; Pseudomonadati; Pseudomonadota; Gammaproteobacteria; Vibrionales; Vibrionaceae.
GGAUGCGCUCAUACCAGCACUAAUGCAUCGGAUCCCAUCAGAACUCCGCAGUUAAGCGUGCUUGGGCGAGAGUAGUACUCGGA